AAUGGAGCUAAUGAUAAUACAUAAGAGAAAAAGAAGUAAUCCCUGUGGUGCAUUUAACACAUUGUUGGGCCUUUAGUUAGUAAACACUCAGAUAUUAGCAAAUAUUUUGUGCCAGACUUACAUUAGGCAUUGAUUGAUUCAGCCAAUGAUUAGUGUUUACAGUAUGCAAAACACCAUCUUGGGCUCUGGAGAGAAAGCAAUAAAUAAUAUCCCAACUGCAUGGGCUAGUGUGUUAGGAAAGAUGGAUAACAAACAAGUAAAUCAAUUUUAUUUCAGAAAAUGUGUGCAUGGGGACUAUUUCGAUGGGGUAGUCAGGAGAAAGUUACAUUUGAAUGGAGAUCUGAAUAAGCAGCCUGUGAGCUGGAAAUCUAGAAAAAGAGCAGGAUAAAUGUGAACGUGUCAGAAAUUAGAAGCAUAGGUUUGGGAGCCAUCAGCAUAUGGAUGGCAUGGAAAGCCAGGAAAGCAGAUGCAUUUGCCUCAAAAAUGGCAAGAAGAGAAAAGGACUGUCAUAGGCUAUCAGCUUUUAGUAUUUCAGAAGAGUAGUUAAGAAAAACAAACUGAAUCUGGCAUAGCCCCUACUCUUAAGAAGCCAAUGGUCUCAUGGAGCAACAAAUUUAUAAUUACUUACACAGUGGAUUAUGAGAGCUAAGGAAGAGCAGCAGUUAGGGAAACCUUCCUAAGAACUGUGUCACUUGAGCUAAGUGAAUGUGUUUGUUUUUGUGGUGCUGGUAAUCAAACCUGGGGCCUCCCCAUCCCUUUUUAUUUUAUUUUGAGACAGGUUCUUGCUAAAUUGCUGAGGCUGUCCUCAAACUUGAUGAUCCUCCUGCCUCAGCCUCUGGAGUAACUGGGAUUAUAGGUAUGCACCACCGUGCCCAACUCAACUUGAGUGUCAAAGGGAGAAAGAAUGGUUAACCAUUGAGGGUAAGAAGACUAUUCUGGAUAGUACUAUGUGAACAAAGAAAGAACUCCAAGAACAUAGACCAUUUUGGGGAGUAUAAGCAGUUUACUAAUUUCUAAGGUUGAUGUAAAUCUGGGGUGUAAAGUGGGACAGGAGGAGUUGGGCCAAAUCAUGGAGUACUUUCUAAACCCUAAGAAGGAAUUUUACCUGAAGUAUGAACAGUGAGGUGACAUGGUAGAUUUGAGUUCUAAAUAGCUCACUCUUGCACUGCUGUGAUCAAUAUGUUUGAGGAAAGUAGACCAGAGUCGGAACCAGAGAUGGUAGUAGCUUAACAAGGGCCAUGAUCAUGGGGGUAGGGGAGAAUGAAGUGACUUACAG
This 1276-nucleotide long non-coding RNA is filed under the name Marmota monax (woodchuck). The record is from RNAcentral. Lineage: Eukaryota; Metazoa; Chordata; Mammalia; Rodentia; Sciuridae.